UAAUCGGUUAAAUAUAAUAGGCAGGACUAAGCAUGUAGAACUUUUGGCAGAGGACUCGCGGACGGCGGUUCGAAUCCGCCCGCCUCCACCA
Molecule: transfer-messenger RNA, 91 nt
Filed under: Candidatus Thiodiazotropha endolucinida
Lineage: Bacteria; Pseudomonadati; Pseudomonadota; Gammaproteobacteria; Chromatiales; Sedimenticolaceae
Also listed under: 3 other names
Description: partial transfer-messenger RNA
Rfam family: transfer-messenger RNA
About the family: Bacterial tmRNA, also known as 10Sa RNA or SsrA, is named for its dual tRNA and mRNA-like properties. Its role is to liberate the mRNA from a stalled ribosome.
Source: RNAcentral